This is a non-coding RNA of Xylaria sp. FL0064, 110 nucleotides long. NCBI's taxonomy places the organism in Eukaryota, Fungi, Ascomycota, Sordariomycetes, Xylariales, Xylariaceae. The record is from the annotation of a GenBank genome assembly.
GGCCAGGUGGCGGAGUGGUUAUCGCGCCAGACUCGAAUUAACGCAUUAUUACGUUUAUAAUCGGUUAUCUGGUUCCUUCGGGAGCGUCUGUUCGAAUCAGGCCCUGGUCG